AGCCGGAAAUGGAAAAGCCGGUACAAGCGUAUAGCAGUCAUGCAGGCAAAACCGCAUGAAAAAUGUAAAGCGUUAUGUGGAUCGAACAUUAGUAGAGAAGCGUGUGAGCCAGCUGCCAAGAAAAGCCGCUAUUGUUUCAUAAGUACCCGUACCGUAAACCGACACAGGUGGAUGAGGAGAGAAUCCUAAGGCCGGCGGGAGAAGUGUUGUUAAGGAACUCGGCAAAAUGACUCCGUAACUUCGGGAGAAGGAGUGCCACAGAGAUGUGGCCGCAGAGAAAUGGCCCAAGCAACUGUUUAGCAAAAACACAGGUCUAUGCAAAACCGAAAGGUGAGGUAUAUGGGCUGACGCCUGCCCGGUGCUGGAAGGUUAAGAGGAGAGGUUAGAGCAAUCGAAGCUUUGAAUUUAAGCCCCAGUAAACGGCGGCCGUAACAAUAACGGUCCUAAGGUAGCGAAAUUCCUUGUCGGGUAAGUUCCGACCCGCACGAAAGGCGUAAUGAUUUGGGCACUGUCUCAACAACACACCCGGUGAAAUUGAAAUACCAGUGAAGAUGCUGGUUACCUGCGCCAGGACGGAAAGACCCCAUGGAGCUUUACUCCAGUUUGAUACUGGGAUUCGGUACUGUCUGUACAGGAUAGGUGGGAGGCUAGGAAAUGGUGACGCCAGUUGCCAUGGAGCCAACCUUGGGAUACCACCCUUACAGUACUGGGUUUCUAACCUGCAGCCGUAACCCGGCUGGGGGACAAUGUCUGACGGGGAGUUUGACUGGGGCGGUCGCCUCCGAAAGAGUAUCGGAGGCGCUCAAAGGUUCCCUCAGAACGGUUGGAAACCGUUCGAAGAGUGCAAAGGCAGAAGGGAGCUUGACUGCGACACCGACGGGUGGAGCAGAUACGAAAGUAGGACUUAGUGAUCCGGUGGUAUAAAGUGGGAUUGCCAUCGCUCAACGGAUAAAAGCUACCCUGGGAUAACAGGCUUAUCACUCCCAAGAGUUCACAUCGACGGAGUGGUUUGGCACCUCGAUGUCGGCUCAUCGCAUCCUGGAGCUGUAGCAGGUUCCAAGGGUUGGGCUGUUCGCCCAUUAAAGCGGUACGCGAGCUGGGUUCAGAACGUCGUGAGACAGUUCGGUCCCUAUCCGGCGUGGGCGUAGGAUAUUUGAGAGGAGCUGUCCUUAGUACGAGAGGACCGGGAUGGACAAACCUCUGGUGUAUCUGUUGUUUUACCAAAGGCAUGGCAGAGUAGCCAAGUUUGGCAGGGAUAAACGCUGAAGGCAUCUAAGCGUGAAGCCCCCCUCAAGAUAAGAUAUCCCAUCUUCGGAGUAAGACCCCUUGAAGACUACAAGGUUGAUAGGCUUCAGGUGUAAGUGCGGUAACGCACUCAGCUGAGAAGUACUAAUAGGUCGAGGACUUAUU
This 1410-nucleotide ribosomal RNA is filed under the name metagenome. Its description in RNAcentral is "bacterial LSU rRNA". It matches the Rfam family "Bacterial large subunit ribosomal RNA", at positions 1489 to 2925 of the family's 2925-position model. The record is from RNAcentral.